GAUGAACGCUGGCGGCGUGCUUAACACAUGCAAGUCGAACGGAAAGGCUCCUGCUUGCAGGGGUUCUCGAGUGGCGAACGGGUGAGUAACACGUGGGUGAUCUGCCCUGCACUUCGGGAUAAGCCUGGGAAACUGGGUCUAAUACCGUAUAGGACCACAUUUAGGGUGGUGUGGUGGAAAGUUUUUCGGUGUGGGAUGAGGUCGCGGCCUAUCAGCUUGUUGGUGGGGUACUGGCGUACCAAGGCGGCGACGGGUAGCCGGCCUGAGAGGGUGUACGGACAGAUUAGACCUCAAAUACAGGCCAGACUCCUGCGGGAGGCAGCAGGGGGGCAUGUUGCACAAUGGGAGAAAGCCUGAGGCAGGAAGGCCGCGUGGGUGAUGACGGCCUUCGGGUUGUAAACACCUCUCGCUAGGGACGAAGCGUUUUUGUGACGGUACCUGGAGAAGAAGCACCGGCUAACUACGUG
This 467-nucleotide ribosomal RNA is filed under the name uncultured bacterium. RNAcentral's name for it is "partial 16S ribosomal RNA". It matches the Rfam family "Bacterial small subunit ribosomal RNA", at positions 28 to 507 of the family's 1533-position model. The record is from RNAcentral.